RNAcentral lists this ribosomal RNA (369 nucleotides) under Triticum aestivum (bread wheat). RNAcentral describes it as "partial small subunit ribosomal RNA". Lineage: Eukaryota; Viridiplantae; Streptophyta; Magnoliopsida; Poales; Poaceae. The record is from RNAcentral.
AUGGCGAAGCAUGGCGAUCCAUCGGCUUCAGGAUCAAAGGGGAAGGGAAAGUUGGAGGAGCUAAUGAAGGAGCUAGACCUCAAGGAAGACGACCUCGGCGACGUUGUUUUCGAGGAAGAUGACACCUCGACAGUGGAGGACCUCUGCUGGAUGAUCUUGGUCAGAGUCCACAUGGACAAAGGGUUUAGCACCUACUGGUUCUUCCGCAACAUGAGGACGCCCUGGGAUCUUGCUAGGUCGGUGAAAAUCAAAACCCUGGAGGAGAACCUCUUCCAGAUGCAGUUCAACUGCCUAGGCGAUUGGGAGAGAGUCACUCAAGGGGGUCCAUGGCACUUUCGAGGCAACCCGAUGAUCAUUGCCCUCAUAUGA